UUUCCGUAGGUGAACCUGCGGAAGGGUCAUUAAAGAGUAAGGGUCUUCGGGCCCGAUCUCCAACCCUUUGUUUAACUACCAUGUUGCUUUGGCGGGCCCGUCUCACGACCGCCGGAAGUUUGGCUUCGACCAAACUUCUGGCCCGUGCCCGUCAGUGGCCCCUUCAAAUUCUUGAUCAAGUAUGAUGUCUUAGUUAAAACCUUAAUAGUUAAAACUUUCAACAACGGAUCUCUUGGUUCUG
Molecule: unclassified non-coding RNA, 241 nt
Filed under: plant metagenome
Description: partial contains small subunit ribosomal RNA, internal transcribed spacer 1, and 5.8S ribosomal RNA
Source: RNAcentral